Molecule: ribosomal RNA, 483 nt
Filed under: Triticum aestivum (bread wheat)
Lineage: Eukaryota; Viridiplantae; Streptophyta; Magnoliopsida; Poales; Poaceae
Description: partial small subunit ribosomal RNA
Source: RNAcentral
AUGGAUCAGGAGCUAAUGGAGCACCUUGAGGCCAAAGUGAGUGCUGACAACGCGAGAUCUCACCCUCUCAUCGAUUUGUUCAUACCAACCAUCGACAGCGAGCACGGCAUAUGCUACACCCAUCCUGAGAAACUUCCAGGUAUCACACUGAGUGGCCAGAGCAAGCAUUUCUUCCAGCGCAAUUCCAGGGCGUUCAAAACGGGCACGUGGACGCGUCACAAGAUACAGUCGGAGUGCGGCAUGCACGUGAUGUGGCACAACACCGGCAAUACCGUGCCGGUGAUGGUCAACGGCCGGCAGACGGGCAACAAAAAGGUUCUGGUGCUGCACACCAACAAGAACUUCGACCAGCAGAGGACCAACUGGGUGAUGCACCAGUACCACCUUGGGGACCUGGAGCAAGAGAAGGAGCGGGAGCUGGUCCUCUGCAAGAUUUUCGACCAGACGAACACUAGGGCCAGGAGUAAAAAGAUUAUAAGUUAG